CAUCUCUCUCAGCCAGCAUGAGGAUUCCGGGAGGUUGGCAGGACAAAUCUCCUCCCUCCCAUGGGCUGGCGUGCUCUCCCUCCUUUCGGCCCCUCCUGAAUUCUGCCGACUCACACACAUGGUUUGCUGCCUGAAGUGGAGCUAAUGGCCACAUGCUUUCCCCUGGAGAAAACUGUUACCGCUGUGAUGCCUGAUACAAUGUGCUCAGGAGGGAGGAGAGACUCCUGUAGUUGAAGGAUUGGAAUUGGAAAAGGCAGGACAUAGAGGAGCGGCUGUCAUUCAGAAAUAGAUCCUGACUGAAGCUUUCCUCCUCAAGAAGAAGACCUGGAUUUCAGGCUGCACGAAGGCCUGACUGAAUGUAGGAGGCAGGUCCCCCGGUGCGAUGCAAAAGAGUAGUAGAAAUGUGAAUCCUUUACAACAGCCGCGGCAUUUUGCAGUUAACAAAAUGCCUCCCCAUUCACAAUCUCAUUUGAUCUCCCAACUCCCCUGUGAGAUAGGUAUCAGGGCUGGCAGCUGCCUCCAUCCCAGGAAUAAAGUCCUGAGCCCCAAAGAGCCGUGAUGGGAGGAGAAACACCAGCAUGAGAAUCUCCUGAGAAUGACUGGCUCAUCUUGGCAGUUCUGGGGCUGUGCUUCUUCGGUGUGGGAAAAUGCACUCCCCUACCCUGCUGAGUCCAGCCAUUUCAUUUCUUAUCUUGGUUUACUCAGUACCGAGCCAGUGGCACUUACAUAAAUGUCCUUCUGGCAUGAGGGAGAGAGAGAGAGGGGAAAGAGAGGGGGAGAGAGAGAGAGAGAGAAGGGAAACAGCAGCUGUCAGCAGAGUGUCAGGCUGGGGACCUGCCAUCUCAUUGAACAAAGCUCCAGUCAACUCCAACAGUGUCCUGGGUGCACCUCUAAUCAUGGGUGAUGGGAUUGUCCUCGGGCUCAGGAUUACUUCCUGCCCUUAAAGAGAACAGGGAGAGAGAGUCCUUUAGCUGUUACCACGGUGUCACUUGUAAAUCAUUAACCAGGACGGAGAGGAACCAGAGCAAGAUCAAAACAAGUGAAUCCUGAUACCAAGGCCCCUCAAGACCAUGUCUCAGUGGUAACAUCUGAGCAUUAAUCUUACUUGGCUAUCACAAACAGGCCAUCUGUUUAGGUGGGACGGUGGGGACUACACUUUGCAUUUCUUUUAACUCUAAAGAGUCUUCCAAUAUUUAGCAUUUCCCACUGGGGCUGGAAAAACUCCCUCUUGUGUGAUCUGCUCCACCUCCCUGCCUCUGACGGCACUGGAGGCCCCUCCGCUCUUGGUGGCCGUGCUUCUGGAGUUCAAUGCCUCUUCUUUUUCUGCAAUUCCCCAUGGAGGAGACUGUGCAACCAUCCUGUGCACCCCACUCCAAGGCCUCUAACCCUACAGAGUUUUCUUUUCUCUCUGAGGGCCCCCAGCUUAAAAGACCAUCAAGAAACAAGAUUGAUGAAUGUGGAUAAUGGUUGAAGCUUGCUGAUUGUUACAUGGGGAAUCAUACUAGUCUGUCUACUUUAUGUGUGUAAAAUCUCUAUAAUAAAA
This is a long non-coding RNA of Physeter macrocephalus (sperm whale), 1543 nucleotides long. RefSeq lists it as uncharacterized. NCBI's taxonomy places the organism in Eukaryota, Metazoa, Chordata, Mammalia, Artiodactyla, Physeteridae. The record is from RefSeq and is a predicted model, not a curated record. The transcript has 3 exons.